This 530-nucleotide ribosomal RNA is filed under the name uncultured bacterium. RNAcentral describes it as "bacterial SSU rRNA". It matches the Rfam family "Bacterial small subunit ribosomal RNA", at positions 777 to 1304 of the family's 1533-position model. The record is from RNAcentral.
AAUAGAUACCCGGGUAGUCCACGCCGUAAACGAUGAGUGCUAAGUGUUAGAGGGUUUCCGCCCUUUAGUGCUGCAGCUAACGCAUUAAGCACUCCGCCUGGGGAGUACGGUCGCAAGACUGAAACUCAAAGGAAUUGACGGGGGCCCGCACAAGCGGUGGAGCAUGUGGUUUAAUUCGAAGCAACGCGAAGAACCUUACCAGGUCUUGACAUCCUCUGACAACUCUAGAGAUAGAGCGUUCCCCUUCGGGGGACAGAGUGACAGGUGGUGCAUGGUUGUCGUCAGCUCGUGUCGUGAGAUGUUGGGUUAAGUCCCGCAACGAGCGCAACCCUUGAUCUUAGUUGCCAGCAUUUAGUUGGGCACUCUAAGGUGACUGCCGGUGACAAACCGGAGGAAGGUGGGGAUGACGUCAAAUCAUCAUGCCCCUUAUGACCUGGGCUACACACGUGCUACAAUGGAUGGUACAAAGGGCUGCAAGACCGCGAGGUCAAGCCAAUCCCAUAAAACCCAUUCUCAGUUCGGAUUGUAGG